Molecule: ribosomal RNA, 253 nt
Filed under: uncultured bacterium
Lineage: Bacteria
Description: partial 16S ribosomal RNA
Rfam family: Bacterial small subunit ribosomal RNA
Source: RNAcentral
UACGUAGGGGGCAAGCGUUGUCCGGAUUUAUUGGGCGUAAAGAGCGUGUAGGCGGCCAGGUAGGUCUGCUGUGAAAACUCGAGGCUUAACCUCGAGCUGUCGGCGGAAACCAUCUGGCUAGAGUCCGGAAGAGGAGAAUGGAAUUCCCGGUGUAGCGGUGAAAUGCGUAGAUAUCUGGAGGAACACCGGUGGCGAAGGCGGCAUCCUGGACCGGCAUUGACGCUGAGGCGCGAAAGCCAGGGGAGCAAACGGG